AGCUCAGUUGUUUAGAGCAUGGUGCUAAAAAUGCCAAGGUUACAGGUUUGAUCCCUGU
Molecule: transfer RNA, 58 nt
Filed under: Cephalopterus ornatus (amazonian umbrellabird)
Lineage: Eukaryota; Metazoa; Chordata; Aves; Passeriformes; Cotingidae
Also listed under: 4 other names
Rfam family: tRNA
About the family: Transfer RNA (tRNA) molecules are approximately 80 nucleotides in length. Their secondary structure includes four short double-helical elements and three loops (D, anti-codon, and T loops).
Source: Rfam by way of RNAcentral